AACAGGAAAGGCAGAGGUAGAAGCUUUAUUAUGAUAUGUCUUAAGGAACAAUUAAAUCAGUAGGCAUUGAUUGAACACCUACUGUGCACAAGCCCCUGCACACAGUAGGGUCCAAUGGACCCGUGGAGUCCAAUGUCCCACCCAUGGCUCUCAGGUUCCCAGGGAGGAAAAUCACAUGAGGGUCAGGGAGUUUUAUGGGGCUGAGAACAGGGUGGGUUCCUGAAUAUCCAAGUGCAGUUAGCUUUAUGAAGGCAAACUUUGCCCCCCCCUGCAGGAGGCAGAGACAGCAGGGAGCAGCAGGCCCGGCUCUCUCGGGCUGGGCAGGUGGCUUUCGCGCAGCUCUUCGGGGCCACGGGCCCCUCAGCAGCCACCGCAGCAGCCGGUCUGGGUGUUGCUGGAGGCCUGGGAUCGCUGGCUGCCACCCCCGCAGCAGCUGCAGCAGCUGGUGCUGGAGCCGCAGCAACCUGAGUCGCCGCAGCAACCUGAGUCGCCGCAGCAGCCCGAGUCACCGCCGCAGCAGCCGGAGUCGCCGCAGGAGCCGCAGCAGGAGGACGAGGCGGCGGGUGCCGGGGCGGGACACGGAGUGGGGCCCUGAGAAGACCCCUUGGAAAAGCCUCUGGAGGCCCCUGCGCUCUGCUGGGAGGACAUCUCGGAGGUCGUCACGGCGAACCUGGAAGAAAAGCAGCUUUUCACACGGGAGCAGACUUUUCUUUCCAACAAUGAACUCAGGGCUUUUGAGAUUUGGCCUUGUGAGCAAGUGAGCCUGGCCUGGUGCCAGGGAAAGGAAGCACCAAGAAAGAAGGAAAGCAAAGGAAGAAACCCCAAACCAGUGUUUGCAGUGAGUUAAACAUGCAUAGAGCAGGAAACGGUCUAUGCAAGGGAUCAAUUGUCUUCUACUUUCUCUGACUAGAAUAAGGACCACCCAGGUUCUCCACAAUGGAAAAUAAAGACAACAUUGUGGCAAUUUAUCUGUAUGAUCCAGUCAGUCCAAAAUCUUUGCUUGGCUCUUUUCCCCUCCCCCAUUUCACUGCGACCUCACAAUCUUCAAGUGAUAUUCACAUAGUUAGCACUGUAUUGGUGGCCUAGUGGUUAAGGUUAGAUGCUCUAGCUGAGGGGCCCAGGUUGGUUUCCUGGUGAGGGAACCAUGUCACCCAUCUGUCAGUUAUACUGUAGCAGCUGCAUGUUGCUGUGAUGCUGAAAGCUAUGCCACCAAUAUGUCAAACACUAACAGGGUCACCCAUGGUGGACAGGUUUCAGCGGAGCUUCCAGACUAAGACAAACUAGGAAGAAGGACCUGGCUGCCCACUUCUGAAAAAAUCGGCCAUGAAAACCCUAUGAAUAGCCACGGAGCAUUGGCUGAUACUGCGCUGGCAAGUGAGAGGCUUCGCCAUCAGUUAGAGAAGAGCCAAAUCACAGAUGCAUCCUUGCUGCCUGGAUCUAAAGAAUUCACAAAGCGCUGGUCGUUUUUCCUGCCUCUGCCUCUCAUUCACCUCAGCCACAAGGAAAAGGAGAGUGAUCCAGCUGAUGGAAAUACAUCCCAGUCCAGAGAGCCAAAAGACCUAGGUUCUAGUCACAUCUCUGCUACAGAAUUGCUGUGAAAUCAUCUAAAAGUCACUCCCACCCCCAGUCUGGCCUCCAGGUCCUCACUGGGACCAUGAGAGGCUGGCUCACUUGAAGCUUACGGCUCUUUCCAGGGCUUUUCUCCUUCCACAUCUACCUGCUAGCUAUCUUCUGGCUUCUCCUCUCUGCCUUCCACUCUUCCCAACCUCCUCCACCAGGCCCUGCUUGGAGACUUACCAGACUCUGGCUCCACUGGAAGACUCACUCAGUUCUCCAACUGGAACAGGCCACCUUCUAGGUAGUGGACUGAGCAAUGUCCAGCCAGAGAACCUUUUAUAAGAUUCCACAGGCC
RNAcentral lists this long non-coding RNA (1912 nucleotides) under Equus asinus (donkey). Its description in RNAcentral is "lncRNA (ENSEASG00005038552.1)". Lineage: Eukaryota; Metazoa; Chordata; Mammalia; Perissodactyla; Equidae. The record is from RNAcentral.